CGCAUCUGUGCAUGCAGCAUAUCAAUAAGCGGAGGAAAAGAAACUAACAAGGAUUCCCUCAGUAACGGCGAGUGAAGCGGGAAGAGCUCAAAUUUGAAAUCUUGAAAGGUCUACCUCUGCACGAAUUGUAGUUUAAAGAAGUGUUUUCUGUUACGAUCGUAAUAUAAGUUCUUUGGAAUAGGACAUCACAGAGAGUGAGAAUCCCGUCUAUGAUUGCGAUUUGUAGCUUUGUGAUACACUUUCAAAGAGUCGGGUUGUUUGGGAAUGCAGCCCAAAACGGGAGGUAAAUUUCUUCUAAGGCUAAAUAUUGGCGAGAGACCGAUAGCGAACAAGUACCGUGAGGGAAAGAUGAAAAGAACUUUGAAAAGAGAGUUAAAUAGUACGUGAAAUUGUCAAAAGGGAAGCGUUUAACACCAGUGUUGUUUUCUGAAAAUCAACCUCUGUUAGCUUUAUGCAUGUUUGUUUAGACCUAAUCAGCUAUCUUGCAUGUUCUAUUGUUUGCAGUGGUGCACUUUUCAGUUUACAGGUCAACAUCAGUUUUUUUUACCGUAAAAAAGUUAAAGAAAGGUAGCUCAUGGCUCCGGUCGUGAGUGUUAUAGUCUUUUUCCUAUGCGGUAGGAGAGACUGAGGUCUGCAGUGUAGGCUAUUUGGCUAGAUACUCAGGUGCUAUGUGAUACCAUUUCAUAAACAACUUGUUGAUUAUGUUUUGUCUAUUGCAUACUCGCUUGUACUAUCAUACCUACGCUUAGGAUGUUGACGAUCAGCUGAGCGCG
This 773-nucleotide ribosomal RNA is filed under the name uncultured Neocallimastigales. Its description in RNAcentral is "partial large subunit ribosomal RNA". It matches the Rfam family "Eukaryotic large subunit ribosomal RNA", at positions 26 to 637 of the family's 3401-position model. The record is from RNAcentral. Lineage: Eukaryota; Fungi; Neocallimastigomycota; Neocallimastigomycetes; Neocallimastigales.